GGCACUAGAAGUAAAGCUUUGUCUACAGCCAAACCCGAUCCCAUCUGAUCUCGGAAGCUAAGCAGGGUUUGGCCUGGUUAGUACUUGGAUGGGAGACUACCUCGGAAGACCAGGUGCUAUAGGCA
This 125-nucleotide ribosomal RNA is filed under the name Pteropus alecto (black flying fox). Lineage: Eukaryota; Metazoa; Chordata; Mammalia; Chiroptera; Pteropodidae. The record is from RNAcentral.